CUGGCUCAGACGAACGCUGGCAGCGUGGAUUAGGCAUGCAAGUCGAACGGGAUCGGGAAGGUAGCAAUAUCGGCCCGUGAGAGUGGCGGAAGGGCGAGGAACACGUGGGCAACCUGUCCUUGAGGUGGGGAAAACCGUUGGAAACGACGGCUAAUACCGAAUGUGGCGCCGGGAGGCAUCUUCCGCGCGCUAAAGGGGGCCGCAAGGCUCCCCCUCUUCGAGGGGCUCGCGCACCAUCAGCUUGUUGGCGGGGUAACGGCCCACCAAGGCUCACGGUUAGCUGGUCUGAGAGGAUGGCCAGCCGCACUGGGACUGAGAUACUGCCCAGACUCCUACGGGAGGCUGCAGUCGAGGAUCAUUCGCAAUGGGGGAAACCCUGACGACGCGACGCUGCGUGGAGGAUGAAGGCCCUCGGGUCGUAAACUCCUGUCAUGAGGGAAAAGGCGAGGGGACCCAACACGUCCCUUAGUUGAUGGUACCUCAAGAGGAACGGGCGGCUAACUCUGUGCCAGCAGCCGC
Molecule: ribosomal RNA, 519 nt
Filed under: uncultured bacterium
Lineage: Bacteria
Description: bacterial SSU rRNA
Rfam family: Bacterial small subunit ribosomal RNA
Source: RNAcentral